RNAcentral lists this ribosomal RNA (528 nucleotides) under Riethia sp. A MNK-2019. RNAcentral describes it as "SSU rRNA". It matches the Rfam family "Eukaryotic small subunit ribosomal RNA", at positions 517 to 1007 of the family's 1831-position model. Lineage: Eukaryota; Metazoa; Arthropoda; Insecta; Diptera; Chironomidae. The record is from RNAcentral.
AAUCAAGUUUAAAUCCUUUAAUGAGGAUCAAGUGGAGGGCAAGUCUGGUGCCAGCAGCCGCGGUAAUUCCAGCUCCACUAGCGUAUGUUAAAAUUGUUGCGGUUAAAACGUUCGAAGUUGAUUAUUGUCCAGUACGGGUGUGACAUCGUCAAGUAAACGAUUGUCAUCACUUCCGGUCACUUGGACUAUAUGACUGAACACUAAAUGAAUAGCAUUGAUGCCUUUCAUUAGGCUAGAUGUCUAUUUAGUUCGGCUUACUUUUACCUUGAACAAAUUAAAGUGCUCAAAGCAGGCUCGAUAUGCUUGAAUAGUUUUGCAUGGAAUAAUGGAAAAAGACCUCGGUCUUAUUUGUCUUUUCUAUUGGUUUGAUACAGAUCAAGAGGUAAUGAUUAAUAGAAGCAGUUGGGGGCAUUAGUAUUACGGCGCGAGAGGUGAAAUUCUUAGACCGUCGUAAGACUAACUAAAGCGAAAGCAUUUGCCAAGGAUGUUUUCAUUAAUCAAGAACGAAAGUUAGAGGAUCGAAGGCGA